CGGACGGGUGAGUAACACGUGAGUAACCUGCCUUACACAAGGGGAUAGCCGUUGGAAACGACGAAUAAUACCCUAUGAAACUAUCGCUUCGCAUGAAGCGAUAGUCAAAGUGUUAGCGGUGUAAGAUGGACUUGCGUCUGAUUAGCUAGUUGGUGAGAAAAAAGCCCACCAAGGCAACGAUCAGUAGCCGGCUUGAGAGAGUGUACGGCCACAUUGGGACUGAGACACGGCCCAG
RNAcentral lists this ribosomal RNA (235 nucleotides) under uncultured Eubacteriales bacterium. Its description in RNAcentral is "uncultured Clostridiales bacterium partial 16S ribosomal RNA". It matches the Rfam family "Bacterial small subunit ribosomal RNA", at positions 99 to 334 of the family's 1533-position model. Lineage: Bacteria; Bacillati; Bacillota; Clostridia; Eubacteriales. The record is from RNAcentral.